ACUAUCCUUAUCUUGGGGUUGCGCUACUGUUCAAUGAACGUAUAGUGAGAACAGUACUGCUAACACCGGCACAACACAUGCGCGCCCACUGAAGCUUCGGCUUUGUGAUGUGGUGCAAUUUUUGGAACC
Molecule: small nuclear RNA, 129 nt
Organism: Pelodiscus sinensis (Chinese soft-shelled turtle)
Lineage: Eukaryota; Metazoa; Chordata; Testudines; Trionychidae
Product: U4atac minor spliceosomal RNA
Source: Ensembl